Molecule: ribosomal RNA, 740 nt
Filed under: uncultured bacterium
Lineage: Bacteria
Description: bacterial SSU rRNA
Rfam family: Bacterial small subunit ribosomal RNA
Source: RNAcentral
AGAGUUUGAUCCUGGCUCAGAACGAACGCUGGCGGCAGGCUUAACACAUGCAAGUCGAACGCACCGCAAGGUGAGUGGCAGACGGGUGAGUAACGCGUGGGAACGUGCCCUUCAGUUCGGGAUAACCCAGGGAAACUUGGGCUAAUACCGGAUACGUGCGAGAGCAGAAAGAUUCAUCGCUGAAGGAUCGGCCCGCGUCUGAUUAGCUAGUUGGUAGGGUAAUGGCCUACCAAGGCGACGAUCAGUAGCUGGUCUGAGAGGAUGAUCAGCCACAUUGGGACUGAGACACGGCCCAAACUCCUACGGGAAGCAGCAGUGGGGAAUAUUGGACAAUGGGCGCAAGCCUGAUCCAGCCAUGCCGCGUGAGUGAUGAAGGCCUUAGGGUUGUAAAGCUCUUUCGUCCGGGACGAUAAUGACGGUACCGGAAGAAGAAGCCCCGGCUAACUUCGUGCCAGCAGCCGCGGUAAUACGAAGGGGGCUAGCGUUGUUCGGAAUCACUGGGCGUAAAGGGCGCGUAGGCGGCCUGAUAAGUCGGGGGUGAAAGCCUGUGGCUCAACCACAGAAUUGCCUUCGAUACUGUCGGGCUUGAGACCGGAAGAGGUAAGUGGAACUGCGAGUGUAGAGGUGAAAUUCGUAGAUAUUCGCAAGAACACCAGUGGCGAAGGCGGCUUACUGGUCCGGUUCUGACGCUGAGGCGCGAAAGCGUGGGGAGCAAACAGGAUUAGAUACCCCCGUAGUCC